UACGGAAGGCAGCAGUGGGGAAUAUUGCACAAUGGGCGCAAGCCUGAUGCAGCCAUGCCGCGUGUAUGAAGAAGGCCUUCGGGUUGUAAAGUACUUUCAGUCGUGAGGAAGGUGUUAAGGUUAAUAACCUUAGCAAUUGACGUUAGCGACAGAAGAAGCACCGGCUAACUCCGUGCCAGCAGCCGCGGUAAUACGGAGGGUGCGAGCGUUAAUCGGAAUUACUGGGCGUAAAGGGCACGCAGGCGGUUAAUUAAGUUGGAUGUGAAAUCCCCGGGCUUAACCUGGGAAUGGCAUUCAAGACUGGUUAGCUAGAGUCUUGUAGAGGGGGUAGAAUUCCAUGUGUAGCGGUGAAAUGCGUAGAGAUGUGGAGGAAUACCGGUGGCGAAGGCGGCCCCUGGACAAAGACUGAUGCUCAUGUGCGAAAGCGUGGGGAGCAAACAGGAUUAGAUACC
Molecule: ribosomal RNA, 452 nt
Filed under: uncultured bacterium
Lineage: Bacteria
Description: bacterial SSU rRNA
Rfam family: Bacterial small subunit ribosomal RNA
Source: RNAcentral